This 493-nucleotide ribosomal RNA is filed under the name uncultured bacterium. RNAcentral's name for it is "partial 16S ribosomal RNA". It matches the Rfam family "Bacterial small subunit ribosomal RNA", at positions 29 to 507 of the family's 1533-position model. The record is from RNAcentral.
ACGAACGCUGGCGGCGUGCUUCACACAUGCAAGUCGAACGGUGAAGCGCCUUCCUUUUUGGUGGGUGUGGAUGAGUGGCGAACGGGUGAGUAACAUGUGAGUAACCUGCCCCCUUCUUCUGGAUAACCGCAUGAAAGUGUGGCUAAUACGGGAUAUUCUGGGUCUGUCGCAUGAUGGGUCUGGGAAAGAUAUUGUUUCGGUGGGGGAUGGGCUCGCGGCCUAUCAGCUUGUUGGUGGGGUGAUGGCCUACCAAGGCGGUGACGGGUAGCCGGCCUGAGAGGGUGGACGGUCACACUGGGACUGAGACACGGCCCAGACUCCUACGGGAGGCAGCAGUGGGGAAUAUUGCACAAUGGGCGCAAGCCUGAUGCAGCGACGCCGCGUGAGGGAUGGAGGCCUUCGGGUUGUGAACCUCUUUCGCCAGUGAAGCAGGCCUGCCUCGUUUGUGGGUGGGUUGACGGUAGCUGGAUAAGAAGCGCCGGCUAACUACGUG